GGUAAAAUGGCCGAUAAAAGCAUUAGACUGUAAAUCUAAAGAUAGGGGUUUAAGUCCUCUUUUUGCCA
This 68-nucleotide transfer RNA is filed under the name Canis lupus familiaris (dog). Its description in RNAcentral is "tRNA-Tyr". It matches the Rfam family "tRNA". From Rfam's summary of the family: Transfer RNA (tRNA) molecules are approximately 80 nucleotides in length. Their secondary structure includes four short double-helical elements and three loops (D, anti-codon, and T loops). Further hydrogen bonds mediate the characteristic L-shaped molecular structure. tRNAs have two regions of fundamental functional importance: the anti-codon, which is responsible for specific mRNA codon recognition, and the 3' end, to which the tRNAs corresponding amino acid is attached (by aminoacyl-tRNA synthetases). tRNAs cope with the degeneracy of the genetic code in two manners: having more than one tRNA (with a specific anti-codon) for a particular amino acid; and 'wobble' base-pairing, i.e. permitting non-standard base-pairing at the 3rd anti-codon position. Lineage: Eukaryota; Metazoa; Chordata; Mammalia; Carnivora; Canidae. The record is from RNAcentral.